RNAcentral lists this unclassified non-coding RNA (529 nucleotides) under Hevea brasiliensis (rubber tree). The record is from RNAcentral. Lineage: Eukaryota; Viridiplantae; Streptophyta; Magnoliopsida; Malpighiales; Euphorbiaceae.
GAAGAGAAACUUGCACUGAGGGCUGACAAAGAGAGGAUGGAGCAAGAGUUGAAAGCUACAGCUUCUCCAGCAAGUUUUAUUCCCCCUCAUCCAGCAGCAUAUCAGCCGGCUGUAAAUAAGAUGGCCGUUUUCCCUAGUUAUGGUUAUGUGCCAAUGUGGCAGUAUCUACAACCAUCUUCGCGGGACACAUCUCAAGAUCAUGAGCUCAGACCUCCUGCUGCUUGAAAAUCUUGCAAGAUAAUGUAUGGCAUUUCCCCCUCCAUUCGUGUAAAUAGUGGCAACAUACUAGUCGAGUUUUUACUCUCUUAGUCAUCUCUGCCUCCUUUGGGUUUCCUCAUUUUCUCGAUAUUUAAUUUUAGGGAGGAACAUGUAUGGCAGAGAAUUUCUCUAGAUGGAAUUGGAUUUGAUUUACAUCUGCUGCGUUUAGCUCCUGCAUUUUUGUUUGUCUCUUGCAAUAGGUAGACAUUCUAGUUUUUCUGUAUCCAAACUAUGUGGUACUACUUAUUUAUGAGCAUUUAUGGAUUCUUUA